GGAAGUAAAAGUCGCAACAAGGUCUCCGUUGGUGAACCAGCGGAGGGAUCAUUACAGAGUUGCAAAACUCCCAAACCAUUGUGAACGUUACCUAUCCCGUUGCUUCGGCGGGCGGCCCGGGCCCCGCGCCCGGCGCCCUCCGGCCCCCCGUGGGCGCCCGCCGGAGGUAAACCAAACCCUUGAAUUGCAUGGCCUCUCUGAGUCUUCUGUACUGAAUAAGUCAAAACUUUCAACAACGGAUCUCUUGGUUCUG
Molecule: unclassified non-coding RNA, 253 nt
Filed under: plant metagenome
Description: partial contains small subunit ribosomal RNA, internal transcribed spacer 1, and 5.8S ribosomal RNA
Rfam family: Eukaryotic small subunit ribosomal RNA (bases 1-54)
Source: RNAcentral